GGGGGGGGGAGGAGGCCAGAACAAAUACACUCAGACCGUCAUGGGCUACGGGAUCACCUGGUUGCCGAACAUUGUAACACUGACCUUUCUACACAACCUGAAACGUCACCCAUUCCUUCUCUCCAGAGAUGCUGCCUGUCC
Amblyraja radiata (thorny skate) is the source of this 141-nucleotide long non-coding RNA. RefSeq lists it as uncharacterized. Lineage: Eukaryota; Metazoa; Chordata; Chondrichthyes; Rajiformes; Rajidae. The record is from RefSeq and is a predicted model, not a curated record. The transcript is spliced from 3 exons.